UGUGGCUCUUCUCAUUUUGCAUGGGCCCUGAAAAAUAGGCAUACUUAUUCAAAAAUUCUUCUUAGAAGGCCUACCUCCAAAUAGAGACACAAGUUUGGUAUUAGCUAUUUUGUUGCUGUACACAAUACCCAACACCAACAAUUUAAAGGAGGAGAGGUUUAUUCGGAUCACAGUUUCCGGUGUUUUCCAGCGGAUUUACUCUAUGAUGCUGGCUUCAGGGCAGAAACGGCAUGAUGGAAGGAUGUGGCUGAGGAAGGCUGCUCUGUCCCGGCCCGCGGGGAUCGAACUCAGGACAUUGCGCUUACAAGGCAGGCGCCAUAACCAUUGAGCUAAAUCCCCGGCCCAAGACUACUUUUGAAUGCACCAAAAGCUUCUGACUCACCAUGGCAACAUCUUCCUGCUGAAAGAUAAGAAUCUUGCCUCUAAGAAGUAGAAAAACUUGCAAGAGAAACCAACAGUAAGAUUUCUGGCCUGAGGCUCAGCAAACUUUUCUUUUCAUUAGCCCUCUCCUCCUCUGUAUUCAUUCCACAGACACUGAAUCUCCUGUGAGCCAUCUGGGGUCACACUAUGAACAAUACACAGUGAAAUCCCUGCCUUGUGGCCCUUCCAUCCUAUUAGGCAGAGACAGGCAGGAUUCAAAACAGCCUAAAGGUAACCUGUCUACAAUUUAUUUCCUGCACAUCCUCAUGUUUGGGCUAUGGUGAAGUGGAGAGGCCAACAACAGACCGCAGCAAUUUUGCUAGUCUCAGUUCUGCCAUCUACAUAUUGUGGGUUUAAGGCAGACCUUCAUCCAAUAUGAGCCUCAGUUUCCUCAUCUAUAAAAUGGGGAGGGAUUGGAUUAAAUGACUUAUUAAGGGAAAGGGUCCUUUUAGGCUCUUUUAUUUUUCAUGUUUUU
RNAcentral lists this long non-coding RNA (895 nucleotides) under Heterocephalus glaber (naked mole-rat). RNAcentral's name for it is "lncRNA (ENSHGLG00000033084.1)". Lineage: Eukaryota; Metazoa; Chordata; Mammalia; Rodentia; Bathyergidae. The record is from RNAcentral.